Molecule: antisense RNA, 508 nt
Filed under: Alloactinosynnema sp. L-07
Lineage: Bacteria; Bacillati; Actinomycetota; Actinomycetes; Pseudonocardiales; Pseudonocardiaceae
Description: Saccharopolyspora sRNA 350
Rfam family: Saccharopolyspora sRNA 350
Source: Rfam by way of RNAcentral
UUGGCGGUGAACUCCCAGAUGUCGUCGGCGCGCAGCAGGGACCGGUCGCCGAAGUAGUCGCCGUCGGCCAGGCCGCCGAGCACCACCGGGUCGCCGUAGGCGCCGCUGCCGACCUUCUCCACCUUGCCGUGCGCGAUCAGGUACACGUGGUCGACGGCGUGGCCGAACUCCACGAUCACCUCGCCCGCGGCGAACUCGCGCUGCACGAACCGAUCGGCCAGCGAGGAGAGCACGGCGUCGUCGUCGAACCCGCGCAGCACCGGCAGCUCGCACAGCUCCUGCGGGACCACCCGGACGUCGGCACCGGUGUUGGUGAAGGUGACCCGGCCGUCGCCGAUGGCGUAGCUCAGCCGCCGGUUGACCCGGUACGCGCCGCCCUUGGCCUCGAUCCACGGCAGCAUCUUGAGCAGCCAGCGCGGCGAGAUGCCCUGCAUCUGCGGCACGGACUUGGUGGUGGUGGCCAGUUUCCUGGCCGCCGCGGUGCCGAGGCUGAGCUGACCGGCAUCGG